CCUACGGGAGGCAGCAGUGGGGAAUAUUGCACAAUGGGCGAAAGCCUGAUGCAGCAACGCCGCGUGAAGGAAGACGGUUUUCGGAUUGUAAACUUCUAUCAAUAGGGAAGAAAGUAAUGACGGUACCGAAAUAAGAAGCCCCGGCUAACUACGUGCCAGCAGCCGCGGUAAUACGUGGGGGGCAAGCGUUAUCCGGAAUUACUGGGUGUAAGGGGAGAGUAGGUGGCAAGGUAAGCGAUAUGUGAAAGCCUUAAGCUUAACUUAAGGAUUGCAUAACGAACUAUCUAGCUAGAGUACAGGAGAGGAAAGCGGAAUUCCUAGUGUAGCGGUGAAAUGCGUAGAUAUUAGGAAGAACACCAGUGGCGAAGGCGGCUUUCUGGACUGAAACUGACGCUGAGGCUCGAAAGCGUGGGGAGCGAACAGGAUUAGAUACCCUGGUAGUC
RNAcentral lists this ribosomal RNA (443 nucleotides) under uncultured bacterium. RNAcentral's name for it is "partial 16S ribosomal RNA". It matches the Rfam family "Bacterial small subunit ribosomal RNA", at positions 338 to 795 of the family's 1533-position model. The record is from RNAcentral.